AAUCUCACUUCCUGAUUUUCCUCAGAGACCCCUGGAGGCUUUGACGGACGGAGGGGAAGCAAACCCGAGGCCGGGGAGGAGAAAGAAGCUGGGCGCAAUCGCUGGGGGGAGCCCUGAGAAGAGGUCAAGUACCAUAAACAAGGCAAGAAACAUAAAAUUAUGGGCAAGACAGAAGGGCAAGACAGCAUCCUGUCAGGAAGAAUCUCACAGGCCAUUGGCCCCAGUCAUCUAAGAAUACCACAAGCCUAUUGUAGAGGAGGCCGACAGAUCACUUCAAAAGACCCCGCUGCCCCAGAAGGAAAUCUCAGUAGGAUCUUCUUCCAUCCAGCUGUUGACUACUAAUGGUGUCUUCACCAAUCCAAUGAUGGUGAUUUAAAAUGUCAAGAGUCUUUUAAGGGUUCUAGUGACUUCAGAAUCCAGAGGAUCGAUCAGCGCUGGAGGGAGAGGCGGUAUUUCACCAUCCACUGCCUAUGGACACUCACUUCCUCGACCAUUAAGUUGGCUCCCAUUGACACAGCAGUCAGCAACUCUGAAGGCCGCAGGCUACUCACUUGCUGAUGAUGUUCAUGCUGGUGUGUCUGCCCUACUAACUCCAAUGAUGAAUAAUUUAGCAUUGAUAUACAGCAAUGAUGUAACACGUUGGAGGAGCCCAAAAGAACAUUAAUAAGUAAUACCAAAGUGACUGGUAUACUUUGGAUGCCCAAAGAGUAAUGCAGUAGAAAGAACAAUAGACCAAGAGGGAGAGGAUCGAGAUUCAAGACCCUGGAUUCCCAGUCCAUUUCCAUGUAAAUAUAUUAUCUUGGGUAAGUCUCUUAAUUCCUCUGAGACUCAAGUUUCCUCCUCAACCAAUAAAAUGAGUGAAUCUAAAAAGUUGCCAAGAUCUAUUCUAGCUCUGAUUUUAUGAUCUGUGCCCUUAUCAUCAUUACUUUGUUUUUUUCAAUACCAUUGACAUAAUCAAUAAAUUACUCAAGAAAUAUUUAUCAGGUGCCUACUCUGGGCCAGACUCUCUGCUAAGCAAUGAAUAUACAACUUCAACUAAAGAAAUACAAAUGCAGUGGUAGUAUUCCCCAUUCACUCUCCACCCCAGGAGCUAUUUUUUCCAACUCAGAAGGCAUUUUUGCGGAAGCCUGGGAUCCUUAGGGGGUUUGUUGAUUUCUACUCACCCUGUGUUGUAAAGGAAGCUUUUAAUAUUUUAGGACCUGAGCUCCAGUAGGAGUCCUAUUGUUAAAAAAGUAUUUACUCAGAAGAUAUAAGAUCAAGAGGCAGCUAGAUGGUGUAGU
Sarcophilus harrisii (Tasmanian devil) is the source of this 1280-nucleotide long non-coding RNA. RefSeq lists it as uncharacterized. The transcript is spliced from 3 exons. The record is from RefSeq and is a predicted model, not a curated record. NCBI's taxonomy places the organism in Eukaryota, Metazoa, Chordata, Mammalia, Dasyuromorphia, Dasyuridae.